Molecule: long non-coding RNA, 148 nt
Organism: Telopea speciosissima
Lineage: Eukaryota; Viridiplantae; Streptophyta; Magnoliopsida; Proteales; Proteaceae
Exons: 2
Source: RefSeq, a predicted model, not a curated record
ACUCUGCAUUUUAGUGUUAUUGUUGCAUCUAUGCCAAUGAUGAUUUGAUCCAUGUUACUGAGGUGUAGUGGAACUAAGACCCUGUUUUACAGGGUGAACCUACUUGGGGAAGCUGCAUUUCACAUGAAAUUAAUGGAUUUAACUGAGG